This 372-nucleotide ribosomal RNA is filed under the name uncultured organism. Its description in RNAcentral is "bacterial SSU rRNA". It matches the Rfam family "Bacterial small subunit ribosomal RNA", at positions 526 to 896 of the family's 1533-position model. The record is from RNAcentral.
CGUAGGUGGCGAGCGUUGUCCGGAAUUACUGGGUGUAAAGGGCGUGUAGGCGGGGAUGUAAGUCAGAUGUGAAAUUCCAUGGCUCAACUGUGGGGCUGCAUCUGAAACUGCGUCUCUUGAGUGCUGGAGAGGGAAGCGGAAUUCCUAGUGUAGCGGUGAAAUGCGUAGAUAUUAGGAGGAACACCAGUGGCGAAGGCGGCUUUCUGGACAGUAACUGACGCUGAGGCGCGAAAGCGUGGGGAGCAAACAGGAUUAGAUACCCUGGUAGUCCACGCUGUAAACGAUGGAUACUAGGUGUAGGAGGUAUCGACCCCUUCUGUGCCGCAGUUAACACAAUAAGUAUCCCACCUGGGGAGUACGGCCGCAAGGUUG